GAUGAAGAACGUAGCGAAAUGCGAUACUUGGUGUGAAUUGCAGAAUCCCGUGAACCAUCGAGUCUUUGAACGCAAGUUGCGCCCGAAGCCAUUAGGCCGAGGGCACGCCUGCCUGGGCGUCACACGUCGUUGCCCCCCCAUCUACUCCUUCGGGAUUGCGGGGGGCGGAUGAUGGCCUCUCGUGCGCCUCGUCGCGCGGUUGGCCUAAAUGCCAAGUCCUCGGCGACGCACGCCACGACAAUCGGUGGUUGCGAAACCUCGGUUGCCUGUCGUGUGCGGUCGUCGCGCAUCGAGGGCUAGAAAAAAUUGCCGGGCUUCGGCUCGACUUUCAACGCGACCCCAGGUCAGGCGGGGUUACCCGCUGAAUUUAAGCAUAUCAAUAAGCGGAGGA
Molecule: unclassified non-coding RNA, 391 nt
Filed under: soil metagenome
Description: partial contains 5.8S ribosomal RNA, internal transcribed spacer 2, and large subunit ribosomal RNA
Rfam family: 5.8S ribosomal RNA (bases 1-122)
Source: RNAcentral